This 841-nucleotide ribosomal RNA is filed under the name Lactiplantibacillus plantarum. RNAcentral describes it as "bacterial SSU rRNA". It matches the Rfam family "Bacterial small subunit ribosomal RNA", at positions 62 to 877 of the family's 1533-position model. Lineage: Bacteria; Bacillati; Bacillota; Bacilli; Lactobacillales; Lactobacillaceae. The record is from RNAcentral.
UCUGGUAUUGAUUGGUGCUUGCAUCAUGAUUUACAUUUGAGUGAGUGGCGAACUGGUGAGUAACACGUGGGAAACCUGCCCAGAAGCGGGAGAUAACACCUGGAAACAGAUGCUAAUACCGCAUAACAACUUGGACCGCAUGGUCCGAGUUUGAAAGAUGGCUUCGGCUAUCACUUUUGGAUGGUCCCGCGGCGUAUUAGCUAGAUGGUGGGGUAACGGCUCACCAUGGCAAUGAUACGUAGCCGACCUGAGAGGGUAAUCGGCCACAUUGGGACUGAGACACGGCCCAAACUCCUACGGGAGGCAGCAGUAGGGAAUCUUCCACAAUGGACGAAAGUCUGAUGGAGCAACGCCGCGUGAGUGAAGAAGGGUUUCGGCUCGUAAAACUCUGUUGUUAAAGAAGAACAUAUCUGAGAGUAACUGUUCAGGUAUUGACGGUAUUUAACCAGAAAGCCACGGCUAACUACGUGCCAGCAGCCGCGGUAAUACGUAGGUGGCAAGCGUUGUCCGGAUUUAUUGGGCGUAAAGCGAGCGCAGGCGGUUUUUUAAGUCUGAUGUGAAAGCCUUCGGCUCAACCGGAGAAGUGCAUCGGAAACUGGGAAACUUGAGUGCAGAAGAGGACAGUGGAACUCCAUGUGUAGCGGUGAAAUGCGUAGAUAUAUGGAAGAACACCAGUGGCGAAGGCGGCUGUCUGGUCUGUAACUGACGCUGAGGCUCGAAAGUAUGGGUAGCAAACAGGAUUAGAUACCCUGGUAGUCCAUACCGUAAACGAUGAAUGCUAAGUGUUGGAGGGUUUCCGCCCUUCAGUGCUGCAGCUAACGCAUUAAGCAUUCCGCCUGGG